GUUCUUGUAGUUAAAGCGCUAUGACGGCAGCUUUUCAGGUUGCAGAUCCCGGAUCGAGGCCGGGCGAGAAUU
RNAcentral lists this transfer RNA (72 nucleotides) under Acridotheres cristatellus (crested myna). Its description in RNAcentral is "tRNA-Glu". Lineage: Eukaryota; Metazoa; Chordata; Aves; Passeriformes; Sturnidae. The record is from RNAcentral.